UACGAAGGGGGCUAGCGUUGCUCGGAAUCACUGGGCGUAAAGGGUGCGUAGGCGGGUCUUUAAGUCAGGGGUGAAAUCCUGGAGCUCAACUCCAGAACUGCCUUUGAUAUUGAGGAUCUUGAGUUCGGGAGAGGUGAGUGGAACUGCGAGUGUAGAGGUGAAAUUCGUAGAUAUUCGCAAGAACACCGGUGGCGAAGGCGGCAUCCUGGACCGAUACUGACGCUGAGGAGCGAAAGCCAGGGGAGCAAACGGG
This 253-nucleotide ribosomal RNA is filed under the name uncultured bacterium. Its description in RNAcentral is "partial 16S ribosomal RNA". It matches the Rfam family "Bacterial small subunit ribosomal RNA", at positions 524 to 776 of the family's 1533-position model. The record is from RNAcentral.